AGCUCCAAUAGCGUAUAUUAAAGUUGUUGCAGUUAAAAGCUCGUAGUCGGAUUUCGGGGCGGGGCGAGCGGUCUGCCGAUGGGUAUGCACUGUUCGGCGCGUCCUUCUUUCCGGAGACCGGUCCUACUCUUAGCUGAGCGGGGUCGGGAGACGGAAUAUUUACUUUGAAAAAUCAGAGUGUUUAACGCGGGCAUCUCGCUUUUGAAUGGAUUAGCAUGGGAUAAUGAAAUAGGACUCGGGUGCUAUUUUGUUGGUUUCGAAAACCGGAGUAAUGAUUAAAAGGGACAGUCAGGGGCACUAGUAUUCUGUUGAGAGAGGUGAAAUUCUCAGACCAAUGGAAGACGAACCACUGCGAAAGCAUUUGCCAGGGAUGUUUUCA
Molecule: ribosomal RNA, 379 nt
Filed under: uncultured eukaryote
Lineage: Eukaryota
Description: SSU rRNA
Rfam family: Eukaryotic small subunit ribosomal RNA
Source: RNAcentral